This 603-nucleotide ribosomal RNA is filed under the name uncultured fungus. Its description in RNAcentral is "eukaryotic LSU rRNA". It matches the Rfam family "Eukaryotic large subunit ribosomal RNA", at positions 23 to 641 of the family's 3401-position model. Lineage: Eukaryota; Fungi. The record is from RNAcentral.
ACCCGCUGAACUUAAGCAUAUCAAUAAGCGGAGGAAAAGAAACCAACAGGAAUUGCCCUAGUAACGGCGAGUGAAGCGGCAACAGCUCAAAUUUGAAAUCUGGCGUCUUUGGCGUCCGAGUUGUAAUUUGCAGAGGGCGCUUUGGCAUUGGCAGCGGUCCAAGUUCCUUGGAACAGGACGUCACAGAGGGUGAGAAUCCCGUACGUGGUCGCUAGCCUUUACCGUGUAAAGCCCCUUCGACGAGUCGAGUUGUUUGGGAAUGCAGCUCUAAAUGGGAGGUAAAUUUCUUCUAAAGCUAAAUACUGGCCAGAGACCGAUAGCGCACAAGUAGAGUGAUCGAAAGAUGAAAAGCACUUUGGAAAGAGAGUUAAAAAGCACGUGAAAUUGUUGAAAGGGAAGCGCUUGCAGCCAGACUUGCCUGUAGUUGCUCAUCCGGGUUUUUACCCGGUGCACUCUUCUAUAGGCAGGCCAGCAUCAGUUUGGGCGGUUGGAUAAAGGUCUCUGUCAUGUACCUCUCUUCGGGGAGAACUUAUAGGGGAGACGACAUGCAACCAGCCCGGACUGAGGUCCGCGCAUCUGCUAGGAUGCUGGCGUAAUGGCUGU